UUAUGUAUUUAAUGCCUGUUAGGUAUCCUGGACUCUAGAUUUUUGUGUCGAGAUUUCUCAAUCCAAAACUUAUUGUAAAGCGUCAAUGAUGAGCAUUUAGGGCUUAGGCCCGAUGAAUGCUGCGUGCUGUAAUGAAGUUCACCUAGUGUUUGAUCAAUACUGGGAGAUGUCAAUCAAAGCGGGAGAACGAUCAAGAAGAGCUGCAACUUCAACUUCACUAGAGGUCCAGAUCAGUGGACCUGCUACCCCUAUUCCAAAACAAUGGGGCAAGUUUAUCACAAGCAGCAAGAACAAAGUCAAUCUCUGUGAAUUUCUGACGAAGUCCUUGACAGAGCUAGGGAUGGAAUAGCUUGAGAGCGAUCAACGACUUGUCCUCGGUGGAGGCGAAAGAGAUGGCUUCAGUGCGUUAGAAGAAGAGGCAGACACUCGGCUCUUUCUCCACGCCAAGCAUGCUUCGAUCAACCAUCCCAGAUGUAGAAUCGUUGUUCACUCCCCUGACACAGAUGUUCUUGUGCUUGGAGUUUGUCACUAUACUAGAAUUGUCUGCGACGAACCCUGGCUCAAAACGGGAAUCAAAGAUCGCCUUCGGUUCAUCCUACUACACGCUAUGGCUCAACAUCUGGGAGAGAGAAUGUGCGAUGCUCUGCCAGGAUUUCAUGCCAUUUCUGGUUGCGAUUCCACGAGCUCUCUUAGUGGAAUUGGCAAAAAAAAGGAUGGGACAUCCUUCAAAGUAACAAGGAUCACCAGGAUAGUCUAAGUCUGCUCGGAGCUGCAGAAAACGUCGGUGCUGCAACUAGGUCCAAGUGUGAAGAGUAUGUAUGCAAUCUUUACCACAAGAGAAAGUCAACAUCAGCUGAUGAGCUACGCUACUUCCUCUUUUGCCAGAAGAAACAAAAGAGCGAAAGGCUUCCUCCAACAUCCAACAGUCUGCAACAUCACCUGGAACGGGCCAACUACCAAGCUCUUGUAUGGCGUCGCUCCUUGGAGGCAAUGCAGGACCUCCCGAGGCCAGAAGAUAGCGGGUGGGAGAGGUCAGGGAUUGAGCUGAAGCCAGUUCUGAUGUCCAAGGACCCUGCCCCAAGCAGUUUGUUAGAGCUCUCGACUUGUGGCUGCAAAUCUGGCUGUCAGAGGAACUGUUCCUGCAGUAACAACGGACUCUCUUGCUCCAAAGCGUGCAGCUGCAUGGCUGGAACAGACUGCAGGAAUCACUAUUCUUUGCGACUAGCAUGCAAUGACCUCUCCGAUUCUGACGGCUCGGAUUCAGAUUCUGACUGAGUAAUACACGAGCGGGCUUCCUGUGGUGCCGGCUAGGGAUAAAUAAAGGCAGAUGUAUCUCUAGCGACACGGAUAUCAGCUCAGAGCUCAAAGCAGCCAUUAGAUGAGUGGAAAACAGUCGCCUUGAGUAGACUGAAUCCGUUUUACCGGCAACGGCGGGAUUUUCGUAAGGAAAAGCAACAUUUUUUACACGUGACUGAUCACGUGACAGAUCACGUGACUUUUCUUUAUCUGGGCGUACUUUAGCCAUUUCCUUAGAAUGUUGAUAUGUAUAAAAACUGUAAAGUUAUAGCUUUUCUAUGCACGGAAAAUGUAAAAAAAAACCGCGCCCUCUUAAUGUGAGCCUCGUUUCCAUGCAGGACUACGAGUGCCGAAAUAAAACACUCAUAUCUCUCCACUUUGCA
Molecule: long non-coding RNA, 1679 nt
Organism: Nematostella vectensis (starlet sea anemone)
Lineage: Eukaryota; Metazoa; Cnidaria; Anthozoa; Actiniaria; Edwardsiidae
Exons: 3
Source: RefSeq, a predicted model, not a curated record